Long non-coding RNA from Ruditapes philippinarum (Manila clam), 137 nucleotides. RefSeq lists it as uncharacterized. The record is from RefSeq and is a predicted model, not a curated record. The transcript is spliced from 3 exons. NCBI's taxonomy places the organism in Eukaryota, Metazoa, Mollusca, Bivalvia, Venerida, Veneridae.
ACAGAUACUACAACAGAACACUUCAUCCCAGACACAACAACCUUGGGCUAGCUUGUCUCCCGAUCAAAUAUGUAAGAAAGACAACUUGACAUAUGCAAUUAUUUUGUAGUCUUUAAAACAAAUAAAAUUGACAGAAG